RNAcentral lists this long non-coding RNA (429 nucleotides) under Nicotiana benthamiana. RNAcentral's name for it is "long non-coding RNA (NBEN_LNC016397)". Lineage: Eukaryota; Viridiplantae; Streptophyta; Magnoliopsida; Solanales; Solanaceae. The record is from RNAcentral.
UAGAAUAAUUUGAAUUGAUUAAUUACUACUCCAUAUCAUUAUCAUCUUCUUCAUCAUCAUCAACUUCAACAUACAUCGGAACUACUAAUAGAAGUUGCUAGGCAAACUUUUGUAUCAAAUCCAAGAAAAAAGUCCCCUUUGACAAAUUUUGACGCCACCAAACAAUUUAGGAGGAGAUAAAAAAUCAAUCACACAUUAUACUAUAUUUUAAAAUUUUCCUAAAGAUUAACAGAGCAAAAUAGUGCACAAUAACUAAUGAGUUGACCUCUAAGUGUUGUUUGUGUCAAUAAAACAGACAUUUUCAUACAAGUUGUUCAUAAUAAGGGUUAGAAGCUUUUACCGUGUACGACUUACUAAUGUGUACAUAGCGGGUUACACGAGAGAGAUGUGUAAUUAGUUGCAAAAGUCAUCUUGUUAGUUCAAUUGCUA